This 68-nucleotide transfer RNA is filed under the name Paraleonnates uschakovi. RNAcentral describes it as "tRNA-Thr". The record is from RNAcentral. Lineage: Eukaryota; Metazoa; Annelida; Polychaeta; Phyllodocida; Nereididae.
GCUUAUAAAGCUAAUUUUAUGCAGCGUCGGUCUUGUAAACCGAAAACAGAAUUCACCUUCUAUAAGCU